AGUAUGACGGAAUCAUAAUUAAUUUUACCGCACUCAAAAUCCAAAAUCACUAGUGCAGAAUUUACAGGAGCAGUGAGCAAGCAAUUCAUCAAUGGCGCUUCAAUCAGCAUUCAAAGAAAGGCUUGGAGAUAUGGAGUCCACUCGUAAUCAAAGACUUUCUCUCCUCCAGGAUGAGAAAGACUUACAAAAGAGGAAAUCCCUAUUAUUAUCAGCUAAACACGCCAAAAUCAGAUUACUGGAACAAAGAUGUUUGAUCUUAGAUCAAAAAUUUGCAUCAGAUAACUUCAAAAUCUCGUCACUCAAAUCCGAAAUUGAGUUUUUGGAUCGUCAAUUUCUAUCCUGUGCUCAACAAUUGAGGGAUUUGAAGGUUGAGGUAGAGGGGCUUGAGCAAUUGGAGGAAGAGAGAGAUAAAUUUUACGCUCUCAAAUGUUCUGAAAUGAAUGAUUUUAAGAAGGAAAUUCAGAAGUAUGCUGAAGAAAUUGGUAGCAGAAUUAAAGAAUUGAAAUGUGGUAAUGAGAAGAUUUGUUUAUGGAAACAAGAAGUGUUGAGUAGUUGGGGGACACCGCGGUUGAUACUGACUGAAUAGGAAUCCUGAGCACCAAAGUUAGUGUGAGUUUUGAUUUUGUUCAAGUGGAGAAUAUUAACUCUGUGGCUUGCAUAAGGAAGUUCUUUAAUAAAGAAUAGCAACCGUGAGGCACAAACUCGUGACAUUCAAGCUGCUAAGGUGAGAAAGUCAGAACUUAUAGCUUUGAAGGAAAAAUUGACCAGUGACCUGGACUCUAAUAGACGUUUGAUAGCAACAUUGCAAGAGCAGCUUCAGAGUCUGUGGUGAUAUGAAAGUAGUAGGUGUACAUGGUAGAAAGAAAAGAGGUAACUGCUACCAUCAGAGAUUACGCCAGGCUAGUGUACAUGGUAGAAAGAAAAGAGGUAACUGCUACCAUCAGAGAUUACGCCAGGCUAGUGUACAUGGUAGAAAGAAAAGAGGUAACUGCUACCACCAGAGAUUACGCCGUAGCAUCCUACAGGGAUGCUCCGGAUCGAGUGGUACAAAAAUUCAUGCAUAGAUCAACAUUUUACAAAAUCGGCACAUAGUUUAAUUUUGACAUGUGCUGUUUGAUAUCAUUGCUUAGAGAGAAGGAAAAAAACGAAUAUCUUAGUGACAGUCAGUGCCUCAGCAGGAAUCAUUUAUUAAGAAGUCAUUUGUGGAAAAGAAGCAUCCUCAAGCUCUUAGAGGAGAUUCAGAGUCGGUUCUAUAGAAAUGAAUAUGCUGAAACUUUCCUGGUU
Chenopodium quinoa (quinoa) is the source of this 1284-nucleotide RNA transcript. RefSeq lists it as uncharacterized. The record is from RefSeq and is a predicted model, not a curated record. Lineage: Eukaryota; Viridiplantae; Streptophyta; Magnoliopsida; Caryophyllales; Amaranthaceae. The transcript has 5 exons.